This 172-nucleotide ribosomal RNA is filed under the name Escherichia coli. Its description in RNAcentral is "partial 16S ribosomal RNA". It matches the Rfam family "Bacterial small subunit ribosomal RNA", at positions 1 to 166 of the family's 1533-position model. The record is from RNAcentral. Lineage: Bacteria; Pseudomonadati; Pseudomonadota; Gammaproteobacteria; Enterobacterales; Enterobacteriaceae.
AAAUUGAAGAGUUUGAUCAUGGCUCAGAUUGAACGCUGGCGGCAGGCCUAACACAUGCAAGUCGAACGGUAACAGGAAGCAGCUUGCUGCUUCGCUGACGAGUGGCGGACGGGUGAGUAAUGUCUGGGAAGCUGCCUGAUGGAGGGGGAUAACUACUGGAAACGGUAGCUAA